Molecule: ribosomal RNA, 498 nt
Filed under: uncultured Glomeromycotina
Lineage: Eukaryota; Fungi; Glomeromycota
Description: partial small subunit ribosomal RNA
Rfam family: Eukaryotic small subunit ribosomal RNA
Source: RNAcentral
CCAAUAGCGUAUAUUAAAGUUGUUGCAGUUAAAAAGCUCGUAGUUGAAUUUCGGGAUUAGUACGCUGGUCGUGCCUUCGGUACGUACUGGUGUUACUGGUUCCUACCUUCUGACGAACCGUCAUGUCAUUAAUUUGGUGUGGCGGGGAAUCAGGACUGUUACUUUGAAAAAAUUAGAGUGUUUAAAGCAGGCUCGCGCUUGAAUACAUUAGCAUGGAAUAAUGAAAUAGGACGUUCGAUCCUAUUUUGUUGGUUUCUAGGAUUGACGUAAUGAUUAAUAGGGAUAGUUGGGGGCAUUAGUAUUCAAUUGUCAGAGGUGAAAUUCUUGGAUUUAUUGAAGACUAACUACUGCGAAAGCAUUUGCCAAGGAUGUUUUCAUUAAUCAAGAACGAAAGUUAGGGGAUCGAAGACGAUCAGAUACCGUCGUAGUCUUAACCAUAAACUAUGCCGACUAGGGAUCGGAUGAUGUUAUUUUUAAUGACUCAUUCGGCGCCUUACG